Molecule: long non-coding RNA, 6929 nt
Filed under: Homo sapiens (human)
Lineage: Eukaryota; Metazoa; Chordata; Mammalia; Primates; Hominidae
Description: HSALNT0325944
Source: RNAcentral
GCCCCCUUAGCUUUACUCUUCAACUAUUUUCAGUCAAAUCCUUGAGAUGUGCCAUCUAUUUCCUGCCAGGACCACAAAGGAUACAUUCAGGCUGUUGGACAAGUCAGAUAAUCUCUUUGACCUUUAAUUUCCUUUAUCUGUAAAACCGGAUAAUACCUAUAUUGUCCACCUUGAAGGGUUGUUAGGAGGACCAAUCAUGCAUGUGAAUUGUAGAGUGUCAUAAAAAUGCAAACCAUGGGUAGCGAAUCAUCUGUUAAUGUUGAUUUCCCAACCAGCUUUCUUUAGGCACUUCAUAAGUUUUUCUUACCUUCCUCUCUUGAUAAAUUGAUACAAGCUUUGGGAGUGCAAUUUCACAUUGACUAAAGGCAAGCAGAAGUGGGAACAGGAAUCCUCUAUUCCACGCAUUUGAAAGCUAAAUAUAAAGCAUCCUUAGGUUUAUCAUGUCUCUGCUCCCCUUCUCAGCAGUAUGUAGUUCAGACCUGGGAGGGCGGUAUAGAAGAUCUUAACAUACCUUUGUUUCUGCCUGGAAUUUUUACCCUUGAUAAUAAUUUCGUCAAACAAAAUUCCCCCAUAGUACAGUGCAUGUAUCACUCACAUCUCUAUGAGAUUGUAAAGCUUCUUUAUAAUGUUUCUGAGGAUACGGGAUCCUAUAUAUAUAUUUUUAUGACUCAUAGUAACUCUCAUACUGUUAAGUACAUAUUUGAUAAAGUAGAUACUUGGGAAAUGGAUGGCUAGGUGUUAAGUGCACAUUAGUUGAUAUUGAGAUUUCUCAAGCGUGAUAAUAUGCAUUCACUGGUUUUAUGCAAGAGCAUGCUCUCUCUGAUUAGCGUGGCCCUCUCUUUGCAUGCAUGGAAAGUAUUUGUUUAACAAAUGAAUAUUUUAUGGACAUCUGUUGCGUUUUAUGUGUGUAUUUUAUUGUGUGAUUUGGCACAUGCAGGACUAAAAUUCAAGAGGAGAAAUUCUUCCUCCCUGUCCCCAUCUUACUAGGUUGGAACCCAGUAAAAUGAUGUUACAAAACAAAAUAAAUAUUGAAAAUGAAGAAUGCUUUUCCAUCUAGUCUUCCCAAAGCUAAUUAAGAAAACUAGUGCUGCUCCUGAAGACUAGGUAAACCCAAACCCAAAUGUUCAGGGGGAAGCAUUUACAUUUCAGAAUGUUAGGCCUGGGAAUAGUGAGUGCUGGUUUACCCUCAGCGCAGGCUCUAGAAAGGGUACACAGACAAUGGUAUGAGAGAAUUCAGACAGAAUUAAUUCCAGGGAAGGAGAAGUUUCUUAAGUCACUUCAUGAUGGUUUGAUUGCCAAGGAAGGAUACUUUAGGGUUAUAUAGGAAAUAAUUUUUGACAUGUAAGGCCAGGAAUUAAAGGCAAAGAAACAGUUGCAGAGUAAGCACAGAAUGACCCAAAUUCAAAGAGGGUACGGUCCUGAAGCAGAGACCUGGAGUGCUAUAUUGUACUUAGUGGAAAUGGGGGAAAUGGUGCAAAGUUAACACUCUGAGGAAUCAGAGCCCAUCUGAAUGAUUGUGGAAUUGUAAAUCUUAUCUCUGGAGCAGCCAGUUUGAAUCAGAAUUUAAAUACUACCAGCCAAAGGCUGACAAACAGUCCCAGAAUGUAGAGUGUCUGCCAAUGUCUGUUACUUGAGGAUAGAUGGAUUUGGUUCUGAUGUGAUCAUUCUCUAUUGGCAGCAGAGACCUGUUAUGAGACAGAGUGCUAGGAAACAAACAAGACAUUUACUUAUUUUCAAAUCAGAAAUUCCAGAACUCCUUUACCUAGGGUGAUUAUCUUUUGAAUUAAAAAAUUGAAACAUUAUUUGAAAUGUAUAUUUGAAUUUUAUAGAUUCCCUGGGCUAAAACUUUUUGGUUGCCCCAACAAAAGAGGAUUAGGAAAAAGCAUAAACGAAUAGAUGAUUUUAAGGAAGGCAGCAGGCCAGAUCAAACAAAGGUCAGAAGCAAAACCAUUCAAAACAGGUAUAGGCUAUCAUAGUCAUCUUUCAGGUUCCUAACUCAUAGUAAGUGCUCAACAAAUUUUUGUUCAGCAACUAAGUGAAUAUUGAGUAUUAUGAUUUCAGAAAGACAUAUGAUUAUUUCUCAUGACAUAAUUGUGAAUCAGAUAAGGAAAUACAGAGUGGAUUUAUGGUUGGUUAAAUCACUAGCCUAGAAAGUCAUUGGUCAAUAUGAAUCUAGGGAAGUCUCCAGUGACAUACAUUGAGACUUUGUCUUAAGCCAAAUCCUAUACUGUAUAAUCAGUGACUUAAAGAAAUAAAUAAAAGAUUAUAAUUGAUUAAUUGCAUUUAUGUAACUCUUGGUAGUCUUUAAAGUUCUCAAGUUCUACAGUUCUAAGAUCUCUUUGCCAUCUUGAUUUCUCCUAUUUCCUGAUUCUGCUUUGCGACUUUCCCCAUUUUCACCUCAUUUCCCAGUCUCUUUUUUUAAAUUCAAGAAUAAUUUAUUAAGCAGCUUUUUAAAUAUGUUGCUCUGUUAAGUAGCUUGGAUAUAAAAAUGAAGAGUAUAGUGUUCCUGAUCUUAUAGAAAUCACAUUCUAGCUGGGCAGAAAGUCAUGUAAUAAGCACAUUAUGAUAAAAUAGGAUAAGUUCUACAAUAGUAACAUGGGAUGUUUCCUGCAAGCACAUGGAAAAGAAAGAUUAAUCCUUCUGGAGCUAUAGAACAUGCAUGUAGAUGUUGUUGAUGGAUUAUAGAGGUAGGGGGGUUUGAGUGGGAUGUAUAGAAUGAGUAAAGUAUUGGAGACCACAUUCCAGGUAAAAAGUAUGGAUAAAAGUGUGAAAGUGCCUACUGUGUUCAUGGAAUGGCUACUAAAGCUCGAGUGGGCCUACAGUUUGGUUUAGAGUGUGGUGCUACUUGGAUUAGGGAAGGAAAAUGAAAUGGAAAACUAGGAUAAGUUGAGAGAAUCAUGCUCUUUCCACUGCCAUUUCCUUCCUUUCCUCACAUCUUGAACUUAAAGCUCUACAGAACUUAUUACUAUUAGUGAGCACACCAUGUUCUUUUGUUCUGCUGAGAUAUUUAGAUGUAUAAAGCUGGAGGAAUUUCUGCCUGAGAAAAGUCCACCUUCCUCUGCCGAAAAAAUUUCCCUGCAUUCUUUAUGACCUCACUUGAAUAUCAACUAGUGUUUACUGAGAGCCUACUAUGUAUAGAGCCAAUAUAUUAUAAUCUUCAUGUUUUCAAUGGCCUAUGGUGGGACUUUACCUUGUCAUCAUGGAGUCAAUUCUUCUUAAUAAACUCCCUUUCAUGUAUACGUAUAUCCUAUUAGUCCUGUCCCACUGGAGAAUGCUGACUAAUAUACCCAGCACAUAUAAAAAGUUGUGUUUACACUAUACUGUAGUCUAAUAAGUGUACAAUAGCAUUAUGUCUAAAAAAUAUACAUACCUUAAUUUGAAAAUUGUUUAUUUCUAACAAAUGCUAAUGAUCAUCUGAGCCUUCAUCCUAUGGGGUGGUAGAGACUUCUAGCACUUGUUAAUCUCUAGAUUCCUUCAUGGUCCCCUGUUAGCCUUCAGCACUUCCAACACAUUUGAAAAUAUUCCCUAGGGUUUAGUUUCUCUGCCUGUACACCAAUAUUUAAAGUUCUAGGCACUUUACAUAUAUUAAUUAACUCUCUAAAUAGCAAUUCUAUGAGGUAGACACUAUUAUUUUCCUCAUUUUGGAAAUGAAGAAACCAAGGUAAAUACAGAUUCAGUAGCUUGUCCAAGGUCCAACAGGAAGUGGUAGCCUGAAAACAAGCAGUCAAUUUCCAGAGCCUAAACUCUUUUUUUUUUAAAGAGCCUAAACUCUUACUACUAAAUUAUAUUGCCUCUCAUCAGAACCAAAUUAUUCACCCUUGACUCCAAACAUUUCUAACUGAAGGAUUCUUCCCUCAAUUCUGAGGUCAGGGUCAUUGGCAUUUUGUCAAAUGUCUCUAGUGAUGCUUCUAUUUUUAGUAGGGCAAGUGGCCAAGGGACUGCUUGUGUUACCCUCCAUGAACCCCUAAGAUCCAUUUUGCUUUCUUUCUGUGUUUUCUCCCCUCUGUUGCCACUCCAGGCCUCCUACCAGGGUCACUCACUGAGUUGUCUUGGUCCCAGUAGUGCACUCAGUGCAUCCAGAGGUGCCUCUUGCUCCAGUUUUGCUCCGUGUCUCAAUUCUGCCUUUUGCCAGGUUCAUUGGUGCAUAAGGACAGGUCAGAGAUAAAUUACAUAACACAUUGAUGAUUCUAAUGAUGAACUGAAUACUUCCCAGAAAAAUUCCACUGUCUUUUCCCAUAUAGCACUGUCAUAAAUAUACACUGGCUCUUCAUUUGGGAUUCUGUGAAUAUAUCAUGUAAUUUUGUAUUUCUAUAUUUUUUCUCUUACUGUCUUCAUUAUUUGAAAUGUCCUUGCCUUCUCUCUCCUCUGGGUGAAAUAUUACUCAUCUUGAAAGGGAAACGCAUACCAAAAUCAUGAGAUAGUACUUCACACCCACUAGGUUGGCAAUAAUCAAGAAGAUAGAUAAUAGCAAGUGUUGAAUAUUUCAGUGAAAGGUUUUUUUUUUUUGACAAUAACCAAUCUUGAUAUUCCUUCCUCAAAUUAUAAAGUUGUAGACAUUAAUUAAGAUCAAGGCAUUGCAACUGUCUGGUCAUGUGCAAGAAUAUAAACCUAGUUCACUCCUUCAGUGACAGCCCCAACAUGACUGCUCCCUGGAUAAUAGAGAAUAUAAGAUGCCACCUAUUUAAGACAAGUCUUAAGUUCAGAAAUGUUAAAAUAUAGAAAAAUGUGUAUUUUAGAAUUAAUGAAAUGUGGCAUUAACAUUGUUAAAUUUUUCUAUAAUUGCAAUAAUUUAAAAAGUUUUAACAAAACUUUAUAUGCCACAUUAUCACUAUAUUAUCUGGAGCACCUUGUGUGAAUCUUUGCUAUAUAAACAAGAAGCAGCUUAAUUGCAAAACAACAUCUGUAUUUCCAUAUCCUUUUUAUGAAAGGAUAUGGAACAGAUGUUCACUGGGAACUGACAAUCUAUGGAGGCAAAGGGGAAUAGUUCUAGGGAUUCAGAGUCAUUCAGGAAUAGGAGUUUUUCCUUUAUUAUACUCCAUGGAAAACACAGUGUCACAAUUUCAGGCUAGGAAUGGAAUAAGAUUAUGUUGUUUGAAAGUGCAGUUUUUUAAUUAGAAUGUAAUCACCAGGACUUCUUUUUGUAGAAAAGAUGGUUAAGUGUGAUGCAUUCUAAAGGCUCUCUUUCCAACAAAUUCCUAUCACCAGCCUAUCUUAUGCUUGAAAUUGAUUGUAUCAGGUUGAAGCUUUGCAUCUCCAGAAGUCUUCUUUAAACACAGUCACAAAAGAGAUAGUAAUAUCAGUCAUUAAAAGAGUUAUUAGAAGAACAUUAUUUCUAGAAGAAAUUGGAUAAGAGAAUAACUAGCUGAGCAUUUCAGAUAUAUUAAUCAAUUGAAUAAUUCAUGCUCAGUCAAACUAUUUAUUAUGAAUCAGCUAUGUAUCUGCCACUGUGAUAGGUUCUGGUUAUACACACAUAAUUGAGACACUACUGCUGACUUCAAGGACUUACAGUCUAGUAGGCAAGACUGACAAGUAAACAAAUAACUAUCAUACAUUGCAAAUCCCCCUAAAGCCUGUGAAGUGGGUUUAGCCAUUCUAGUGCGUAGGGAUGAAUGUGAGCUCUGAAAAUAGCUAUGCUCUGGAGAAAGAAUAAAUGAUACUGUGAAGUAGAGAAGUUACAGUUAUUGUAAAAAUUGAUGCCACUAAACUAAAGCCAAAUUUCUUUUUGGCAUCUGGAUUACUUUAUGAUGUGGCAGGAUAUAAUCAUUUCUUAUUCUUUCCCCCUCCUACAUACUGCUGAUGCUAAGUUGUGGGUGAAUUUAGCUAAGAUCUAGAGGCUCCUUUCUUCUGCCCAGCCCCAACUCAUGGGACCGAGGCUGUACCUUGGUUGUGGUACUGUUGAGAAUACUGGAGCCUUCAUUAGCCUAGGUAAUUCUCAGACCUACCUUAUGGUCUGAGAGUUUCACAGUGAGAGAAACAAGCCCAGGACACCUUUGACUGUUGCCCUCUAUCAACUGAGUGUUCAGCUCUCAAGAAGCUAAACAAGCAACCAGCCAUAACAAGCCCCAGAAGGAAUACCCUGAGUUGCUACAAUAUAUUAUCUAAAAUAUCCAGUUUCAAACAAAAAAAAAUAUGCAUGCAAAGAAACAGGAAAGUAUGACCCAUACACCAGAAAAAAUGCAACAGAAAUGAGACGGGGCCUUUGGGAGAAAGCAUCACGAAGCAGAAGAAAAAUGUAAUAAAAAGCUCCAAACUUGAUUUAGAAUUCUUAAGCAUUUGUUGAUAUGAAAACAUUAAAGGCAAAGUGGACAAAAAGCUAUAGAAAUCAAAAGAGAUUGACUAAACUCAGGAAAGAAAUUAGGAAAAGGAGAAAAUUAUCAUAAAUAUGAAGACUAAAUUAAAGAGUGCCUAAGGGAGGACAGACUGAAAUGAAAAUUUUAUGGUAUAUUGAAGUAGGAAAACAUAAAAGAUAUUGAAAAGUGACACACAGAAAAGUAAAAUGGAACAGAAAAGAAGUGGCUGAAAUGGAAGACAGGCAAAGAAGAAGACAUAUUAAUUAUAGUCUUUGUGGGUACACUAGCAUGUCAGAAAUCAUCACUAAAGAACUUAUCCAUGUAACCAAAAACCACCAGUCCCCCAAAAACUAUCGAAAUAAUAAUAAUAAAAAAAACUAUAGUCCCUGAAGCAGAAAAAGAAAACAAUAGAACAGGGCUAAUAUUUAAAACUUUAAUUCGAGAACACUUUCCAGAAAUAAAUGAAGACCUGUAUGUGCAUAUAGUAAGAGCUCAGUGGGUAGCUGGAAAAAUCAACCUGGAAUGGUGAACUUUGAGGCACAUCCUAGUAAAACUAUUAGAUUUUGAAAUCUAAAAAAUAAUUUUCUUAAGCCCUCCUACCAAAAAUAUUAAAUGAUUUACAAGGAGGAAAACAUAGAC